This 492-nucleotide ribosomal RNA is filed under the name uncultured bacterium. RNAcentral's name for it is "bacterial SSU rRNA". It matches the Rfam family "Bacterial small subunit ribosomal RNA", at positions 28 to 499 of the family's 1533-position model. The record is from RNAcentral.
GACGAACGCUGGCGGCGUGCCUAAUACAUGCAAGUCGAACGCACUCUCGUUUAGAUUGAAGGAGCUUGCUCCUGAUUGAUAAACAUUUGAGUGAGUGGCGGACGGGUGAGUAACACGUGGGUAACCUGCCCUAAAGUGGGGGAUAACAUUUGGAAACAGAUGCUAAUACCGCAUAAAACCUAACACCGCAUGGUGUAGGGUUGAAAGAUGGUUUCGGCUAUCACUUUAGGAUGGACCCGCGGUGCAUUAGUUAGUUGGUGAGGUAAAGGCUCACCAAGACCGUGAUGCAUAGCCGACCUGAGAGGGUAAUCGGCCACACUGGGACUGAGACACGGGCCCAGACUCCUACGGGAGGCAGCAGUAGGGAAUCUUCCACAAUGGACGAAAGUCUGAUGGAGCAACGCCGCGUGAGUGAAGAAGGUUUUCGGAUCGUAAAACUCUGUUGUUGGUAGAGAAUGUAUCUGAUAGUAACUGAUCAGGUAGUGACGGUAU